GUGACCAGAACAUGUUGGGAAGCAUGGCCAUAGCGGGUGACAGCCCCGUAUGGGAAGCUUUGAAGGACGUAUCAAGUAGGGCGGGACACGUGAAAUCCUGUCUGAAGAUCGGAGGACCACCUUCGAAGGCUAAGUACUCCUUACUGACCGAUAGCGAACCAGUACCGUGAGGGAAAGGUGAAAAGAACGCCGAG
Molecule: ribosomal RNA, 194 nt
Filed under: Micromonas pusilla
Lineage: Eukaryota; Viridiplantae; Chlorophyta; Mamiellophyceae; Mamiellales; Mamiellaceae
Description: partial Bacterial large subunit ribosomal RNA
Rfam family: Bacterial large subunit ribosomal RNA
Source: RNAcentral